Molecule: small nuclear RNA, 268 nt
Filed under: Jaculus jaculus (lesser Egyptian jerboa)
Lineage: Eukaryota; Metazoa; Chordata; Mammalia; Rodentia; Dipodidae
Description: 7SK RNA (ENSJJAG00000004511.1)
Rfam family: 7SK RNA (bases 1-241)
About the family: 7SK was discovered as an abundant small nuclear RNA in the mid-70s but a possible function has only recently been suggested. Two independent studies have found that 7SK RNA binds the CDK9/cyclin T complex (known as elongation factor P-TEFb).
Source: RNAcentral
GGAUGUGACGGUGAUCUGGCUGUGACAUCAGUCAUCCCAUUGAUUGCCAGGGUUGAUUCGGCUGAUCUUUCUCCCUUACCACUACAUGUGCGUCCCUCCAUAAGAUGUGCACUUGGUCAAAGAGGACCUUUCCCCAGUUGAGGAGGACUGGACUUCAAGGGCAUAGGAGUAGCUGUGUUCCCCUGCUAGAACCUCCAAACAAGCUCUUAAGACAGUAGGUCCACAAAACUACUGUCAAUAGGGGGAACGGCCCACAGACAUCCACUGU